GACGAACGCUGGCGGCGUGCUUAACACAUGCAAGUCGAACGGCAAGGCCCUGCUUUUGUGGGGUGCUCGAGUGGCGAACGGGUGAGUAACACGUGAGUAACCUGCCCUUGACUUUGGGAUAACUUCAGGAAACUGGGGCUAAUACCGGAUAGGAGCUCCUGCUGCAUGGUGGGGGUUGGAACGUUUCGGCGGUUGGGGAUGGACUCGCGGCUUAUCAGCUUGUUGGUGGGGUAGUGGCUUACCAAGGCUUUGACGGGUAGCCGGCCUGAGAGGGUGACCGGCCACAUUGGGACUGAGAGACGGACCAGACUCCUACGGGAGGCAGCAGUGGGGAAUAUGGUACAAUGGGCGGAAGCCUGAUGCAGCAACGCCGCGGGCGGGAUGACGGCCUGCGGGGUGUAAACCGCUUUCGCCUGUGACGAAGCGUGAGUGACGGUAAUGGGUAAAGAAGCACCGGCUAACUACGUG
Molecule: ribosomal RNA, 468 nt
Filed under: uncultured bacterium
Lineage: Bacteria
Description: partial 16S ribosomal RNA
Rfam family: Bacterial small subunit ribosomal RNA
Source: RNAcentral